AUUGAACGCUGGCGGCAGGCCUAACACAUGCAAGUCGAACGGAAGCAGGGAGAUGGCUGCUUCUUUCAGGUGGGGAGGGGGGAGGGAGGGCUAUGUAUCUGCAAGUGUGUGGUGGAGAGGGUCAUCAAGUGGGAACUGUUACUCCAAUCGCACAUAGGGGCAAGGUGAGAGAGCUGGGGAUCUUCGGCUCUUGCAAGAGCCUAGGUCGGAUUAGCUAGUUGGUGGGGUAAAGGCCCACCAAGGCGACGAUCCGUAGCUGGUCUGAGAGGAUGAUCAGCCACACUGGAACUGAGACACGGUCCAGACUCCUACGGGAGGCAGCAGUGGGGAAUAUUGGACAAUGGGCGCAAGCCUGAUCCAGCCAUGCCGCGUGGGUGAAGAAGGCCUUCGGGUUGUAAAGCACUUUUAGUGGGGAGGAAGGGCAGCAAGUUAAUACCUUGCUGUUUUGACGUUACCCACAGAAUAAGCACCGGCUAACUUCGUG
RNAcentral lists this ribosomal RNA (484 nucleotides) under uncultured bacterium. RNAcentral's name for it is "partial 16S ribosomal RNA". It matches the Rfam family "Bacterial small subunit ribosomal RNA", at positions 30 to 507 of the family's 1533-position model. The record is from RNAcentral.